UGAACGCUGGCGGCAUGCUUUACACAUGCAAGUCGACCGGUAACAGGCCGCAAGGUGCUGACGAGUGGCGAACGGGUGAGUAAUGCAUCGGAACGUGCCCAGUCGUGGGGGAUAACUACUCGAAAGAGUAGCUAAUACCGCAUACGAUCUAUGGAUGAAAGCGGGGGACCGUAAGGCCUCGCGCGAUUGGAGCGGCCGAUGUCAGAUUAGGUAGUUGGUGGGGUAAAGGCCCACCAAGCCAACGAUCUGUAGCUGGUCUGAGAGGACGACCAGCCACACUGGGACUGAGACACGGCCCAGACUCCUACGGGAGGCAGCAGUGGGGAAUUUUGGACAAUGGGCGCAAGCCUGAUCCAGCAAUGCCGCGUGCAGGAAGAAGGCCUUCGGGUUGUAAACUGCUUUUGUACGGAACGAAACGGCUCUGGUUAAUACCCGGGGCUAAUGACGGUACCGUAAGAAUAAGCACCGGCUAACUACGUG
This 480-nucleotide ribosomal RNA is filed under the name uncultured bacterium. Its description in RNAcentral is "partial 16S ribosomal RNA". It matches the Rfam family "Bacterial small subunit ribosomal RNA", at positions 30 to 507 of the family's 1533-position model. The record is from RNAcentral.